Molecule: ribosomal RNA, 310 nt
Filed under: uncultured Rhodobacterales bacterium
Lineage: Bacteria; Pseudomonadati; Pseudomonadota; Alphaproteobacteria; Rhodobacterales
Description: SSU rRNA
Rfam family: Bacterial small subunit ribosomal RNA
Source: RNAcentral
ACGAACGCUGGCGGCAGGCCUAACACAUGCAAGUCGAGCGCUACCUUCGGGUGGAGCGGCGGACGGGUUAGUAACGCGUGGGAAUAUACCCAGUUCUAAGGAAUAGCCACUGGAAACGGUGAGUAAUACCUUAUACGCCCUUCGGGGGAAAGAUUUGUCGGAUUUGGAUCGGCCCGCGUUAGAUUAGGUAGUUGGUGGGGUAACGGCCUACCAAGCCUACGAUCUAUAGCUGGUUUUAGAGGAUGAUCAGCAACACUGGGACUGAGACACGGCCCAGACUCCUACGGGAGGCAGCAGUGGGGAAUCUUGG